AAACUUUUGAACGUGUUCAUCACUGCUGAGAUAGGUCGCCAUAAACAACAGAUCCAUUAUUUCUAUUGUACGCUAACUCAUAUUUGGUAGCUCGUUUUCUUUGAAUCUGUAAGUGGAAUGUUGAAGGUUUGCAGGGCUUCGGUAAUUGUAAUGAACACAGUCUCUGCUGUAAUAGAUGACACCAUGCUACACAGAGCACUGUGAGCAGUUUUUUGUUUUUGUUUUUGUUCGUUUUUUUUGAGAGAGAGAGAGUUUUCGCCAGGACAUUUACGAGUGAGCCGUUAUCCUCCUGGCUUUGCGUCUGCUGAGAUCAUGUAAUGGCUUCAUCCAGCGGACACUUCCACUGUUACGCACGGGUGGCUUUGAAUAUUUAUUUCAUGGCACCGAAGGCUGAAAAUGAAUUAACAAUUAAUACAGAAGUCUGCUGCCAGUUUAUGGCGCUGUUUUAAAAAGACACCAGUGCGGAGCUUUACUUUACCAGCACCGACCGACACAACAAAGAAGAGAGAGUAAUGGGUCGAAUACGCUGUAUUUUUUCACAUCCGGUUUGAGCCCGCAUGUGAGCGCAAAAGAAGAACCACAGAUCGACUUGAUCCGCAGAUUAUCUCGCUCGAGGAAUGAAGUCCCAGGACUCAUUCUAAUACACCGGAUUAUGAGCUUUUGUGCUUUCAGCAUGGCAUCAGAGUGCCGGCUGUGAAGCUGAGCUUUUCCACUGGUAUAGACUCGCCAAGGUGGCCGAUCAGCGCGCAAGUUGAACCCAGCUAUGAUGUAAGUCAGAUCUUCCAGUGGCUGGUGGCCAGUGCCGACUGGGACAGCUUCCAGCCUCAGAGGACUGCGAUUAACCCAGGAGCGGUCAAACUCGGCAGGACGCCCUCCACAACCAGCCACAGCUAUUUAUCCACUUUCCAAUGAAACCAAUUACUUUUACAGCAAGCCCCAGCGCCAACAUUAUAUGUGUUGUUCUUGCAGACCAAAAGAGUAUGGCUUUGAAAAGAGAGCCAGGCAUGAAGUAGGAAACCCUCCUGAGCUGCUCCAGCAGGCUGUAAAAUAUACCUAAAGUCAGUAUCCAUGGAGACUAGCUGGUGUGUGAGAGCAGCCUGAAGGAUACACGUGGAUAUUAUUACUAUUGCUAUUUACUGUUCUUUGUCUUUUACUUGUUAUUGUAGAGUGUUAGUUUUUACACAGUUUCCUCUGGGAUUAAUACAUGAUUCCGAUUCUGAGUAAUAGUGUUGGAGUUGCUACAAAUUUCCUUCAUGUAGCUACCAGAAGAAAUGUUUUUAAUGUAAAUCUGCUUACACCUUGCUUAUAUUUAUUUAUAUGUUUUACAAUGUGCUUAUUGCAGGACAUCACAGCUUUUAACAAAUUCUGAUAUUUUAGCUUCUUUUUUGAAAAUUAAAUUUCAACAGUUGUAAAAGUCACAGCAUGUUAACUUCAUAGAACUUUUUCAGUCAUUUUCAUCUUCUUUUCACUAUGAAAAUGACCUUGCAGAAACAGAGGGAAAUGCAAGCGCAAGGGCUUUUCUACAAAAAUUGUAUAAGAAAAAUCUAGAAAACAUCCAGUUAUUGUUUGACACAUUAAGGACGCAUUACUUCUUCCAUUAACAUUGAGCUGUGUAAGUGUAAAUGUUCAUUUUACUACUGCUACUCAAGCAAGUUUCAGUCUGAUUUUCACAGAUGCAAGAUCUCGAGCCAAUUAACUUUAAUUUAUAAUUAUUAUAAUUUAAUAUUAAUAAAAAUAUGAUUUUAUCAUUUUAUAAUUUUUAUUUGUUAUGUUAAAAUUUCUUCUCUGUUUUCAGAGUCAAGUGAUUAUAUGACUCACAAAUGCACAGAAAAUACUGCAACCAACACUGCAAAGUGCUGACAAACACAGUAAACCAAAUAGCUUAUAUAAUACAAACCAACCACAAUGGUUGCCCAGGGUAACAUGUUCACAUUGCUUUUGGCAACUGACUUGCUCUGAAAAAUACCCAAAGAUGUUGAGUGCACUGCAGUCUUACAAAUGUUAACUUCUGAGAAUCUGUGACUAAAGAUCAUUUCUGCUUUGUUUGGUGCUGAUUAGCAUUUUCCUUUACUGCUGAACGAAAAUCUAAUGAAGCUCCAUUUAAGGCUUUUGGAGGGCUUUUCUUGACAUUAGAAUCCACAGGCUAACAGUAAAAUGAGGGGGCAUAUUUUUUGAAUUAUGUUGACAAGGUUGUUUUUUUUCUGCAUCUGUCCAAUAAAUGUCAUGUUAAAGUGUUGUUAUUAGGUUACUAGUCGUAAGUAAGGAAAGGACGAGGACAGCAGACUCAGUUAAUAAAGCAGUCAUAUCACUGAUCGCUGGCUGGGCUAAUUGACAGACACAUGAAGAGAAAACUACUAAUUGAUUAUAGGCUUGUCCUAUUCUAGCGCAGGAGGUGACUGAUGGAAAAUGUGAAUUGGCCUGAGAGAUGCUUUAUGCCUAUGUCUACAUUUGGAUUUCUGUUUCGAUGAAAAACUUUCUGCACAGUGCUUUCUGCUUGAAAUUUCUACGUUCUUUAAGGUGCAAUAAAAAAAGUGGUGGUUUUUAUAGUUAUUUGUGUGUCUUGACAGUUGUGCUGUCACUUAGCAGAGGGUCUCCAGGCUUUCUAAUACAGUCCCACUGAGCUUAUAUCCAAAAGAAGUAUUUACUUUUAACCAAGUGAAGCCUGAACCAUGAAAUGUUUUUUUGAAACUGGGAUGUUUACUGAGCCUUCUGACCAAUAAAAAAUAAAUAAAUAAAUGAAAUAUCAGUUUACAUAUAUGAGCAUUGAUUUGCAUAAAUUCUGCUACAUCUGACUGUAUACAUCAGGCUUUUCAGGAAAAAUUAUACUAAGUAGGGGUCCCACAAACCCAUGUAUAAAACACGAUACUCUUGGCUUUACAGGAUCAGCUUUUCUAUUCUAAUCUGGUUUGAAUGUAGAGAACAGUGUAACUGCACAGCAUGGCCAUCACUGCCUGUCUACCUCUGAGCUGAACCAGUGAGGACAAUCCCUAAGAAAAUGUUAAGGAUUAUGACAUUUAAAUUGUGUUUUUGUUUUCUUAUAGUUUAAAUUAUUGUUAACACGCUCAUCUUUGCUAGAUAGUUCAGGCAGUAUCCAAUGUCACAGACAUUAAACUGAUGGCCAAGAAACAUUACAGACAUUAGCACAAUUUUGCCUUUAGUAACAUUUUGCUCACUGUGACGCAAUGUUUUGGAAGGAUGUUCAAACAAUACUCAUUCAAUCACACAAUUUUUUACCAGAAACGACCAUGAUUUACAUUUCAGGAACGUCUCGCACAUUUAACAAACUUUUCUGUAAACACUUUUUAAUUCUUUUUUUCUAUUAAAUUAUUGCAAUUCAUAAAGAUUUCAGGUACAUAUUUGCUUUGUUUACACUGGACUGUUAUCUCUCUUGAAGAAUUUGGCAUGCUAUGACCCACAGAGCACUACACCCGAGCAUAUAUGCAAUGGUCUUAGUUACCAUGAAACAAUGUACCAUGUAGAGUUGUAU
Molecule: long non-coding RNA, 3487 nt
Organism: Oreochromis aureus
Lineage: Eukaryota; Metazoa; Chordata; Actinopteri; Cichliformes; Cichlidae
Source: Ensembl